AUCCAGCUGGGGAGCAGCUCUGUGGAAAUGGACCUGGGGGUCCUGGUAGCCAACAAGCUCCAUAGGAGUGAGCAGGGCGCUGCUGUGGCCAAGAAGGCCAACAGGGUGCUGAGGUGCAUCAACAAGGGCAUCACCAGCAGAGGUAAAGAAUUCAUAAUCCCACUCUACUCAGUGCUUGUCAGGCCACACCUGGAAUACUGGGUACAGUUCUGGUG
Molecule: long non-coding RNA, 215 nt
Organism: Egretta garzetta (little egret)
Lineage: Eukaryota; Metazoa; Chordata; Aves; Pelecaniformes; Ardeidae
Exons: 3
Source: RefSeq, a predicted model, not a curated record